GACGAACGCUGGCGGCGUGCUUAACACAUGCAAGUCGAACGGAAAGGCCCUUCGGGGUACUCGCGUGGCGAACGGGUGAGUAACACGUGGGUGAUCUGCCCUGCACUUUGGGAUAAGCCUGGGAAACUGGGUCUAAUACCGAAUAGGACCACGCGCUUCAUGGUGUGUGGGGGAAAGCUUUUGCGGUGUGGGAUGGGCCCGCGGCCUAUCAGCUUGUUGGUGGAGUACUGGCUUACCAAGGCGACGACGGGUAGCCGGCCUGGGAGGGUGACCGGCCACACUGGUACUGAGAUACGGCCCAGACUCCUACGUUAGGCAGCAGGGGGGAAUAUUGCACAAUGGGCGCAAGCCUGAUGCAGCGGCGCCGCGUUAGGAAUGACGGCCUUCGGGUUGUAAACCUCUGUCACCAUGGACGAAGCGUAAGUGACGGUACCUGGAGAAGAAGCACCGGCCAACUACGUG
RNAcentral lists this ribosomal RNA (462 nucleotides) under uncultured bacterium. Its description in RNAcentral is "partial 16S ribosomal RNA". It matches the Rfam family "Bacterial small subunit ribosomal RNA", at positions 28 to 507 of the family's 1533-position model. The record is from RNAcentral.